Molecule: ribosomal RNA, 497 nt
Filed under: uncultured bacterium
Lineage: Bacteria
Description: partial 16S ribosomal RNA
Rfam family: Bacterial small subunit ribosomal RNA
Source: RNAcentral
GAUGAACGCUGGCGGCGUGCCUAAUACAUGCAAGUCGAGCGCACGGACGUGAUGCUUGUUCCUAUGAUGUUAGCGGCGGACGGGUGAGUAACACGUGGAUAACCUACCUAUAAGCCUGGGAUAACUUUGGGAAACGGUAGCUAAUACCGGAUAAUAUUUUUAAACACAUGGUUUAAAAGUGAAAGAUGGUCUUGCUGUACUUUAUAGUUGGCUCCGCGCUGCAUUAGCUAGUUGGUAAGGUAACGGUUUACCAAGGCAACGAUGCAUAGCCGACCUGAGAGGGUGAUCGGCCACACUGGAACUGAGACACGGUCCAGACUCCUACGGGAGGCAGCAGUAGGGAAUCUUCGGCAAUGGGCGAAAGCCUGACGGAGCAACGCCGCGUGAGUGAAGAAGGUCUUCGGAUCGUAAAACUCUGUUAUUAGGGAAGAACAUUUGUGAGAGUAACUGUGCACAUCUUGACGGUACCUAAUCAAGAAGCCACGGCUAAAUUCGUU